GAAUUGAAGCCCCAGUAAACGGCGGCCGUAACUAUAACGGUCCUAAGGGAGCGAAAUUCCUUGUCGGGUAAGUUCCGACCUGCACGAAAGGCGCAACGACUUGCACACUGUCUCGGCCAGAGACUCGGUGAAAUUGCAGUCGCGGUGAAAAUUCCGUGUACCCGCAGAAAGACGGAAAGACCCUGUGCACCUUUACUAUAGCUUGACAUUGGAUUUUGGGCCUGCAUGUGUAGGAUAGGUGGGAGGCUGUGAACCCUGUACGCCAGUAUGGGGGGAGCCAUCCUUGAAAUACCACCCUUGCAUGUUUAAGAUCCUAACUUCUUCCGGUUAUCCCGGAGAAAGACAGUGUCUGGCGGGUAGUUUGACUGGGGCGGUCGCCUCCUAAAGUGUAACGGAGGCAUGCAAAGGUUCCCUCAGCCUGAUCGGAAACCAGGCGCUGAGUGCAAACGCAUAAGGGAGCUUGACUGUAAGAGAGACAUCUCGAACAGGAACGAAAGUUGGCGUUAGUGAUCCGGUGGUCCCGAAUGGAAGGGCCAUCGCUCAUUGGAUAAAAGGUACGCCGGGGAUAACAGGCUGAUCGCAUCCAAGAGUUCACAUCGACGAUGCGGUUUGGCACCUCGAUGUCGGCUCAUCACAUCCUGGGGCUGAAGCAGGUCCCAAGGGUACGGCUGUUCGCCGUUUAAAGUGGUACGCGAGCUGGGUUUAAAACGUCGUGAGACAGUUUGGUCCCUAUCUUCUGUGGGCGAAGGAGAAUUGAGAGGGCCUGUCCCUAGUACGAGAGGACCGGGAUGGACGCACCCCUGGUGAUCCUGUUGUCGCGCCAGCGGCAUAGCAGGGUAGCUAUGUGCGGAAGGGAUAACCGCUGAAAGCAUCUAAGCGGGAAGCCUGCCUCAAGAUAAGUUCUCCCCUCGAAAGAGCUGAAGGGCCCGGGUAGACUACCCGGUCGAUAGGCUGGAGGUGUAAGCGCGGCGACGUGCUCAGCUGACCAGUACUAAUAGCCCGAGCGGCUUAUUUUU
This 1016-nucleotide ribosomal RNA is filed under the name human gut metagenome. Its description in RNAcentral is "bacterial LSU rRNA". It matches the Rfam family "Bacterial large subunit ribosomal RNA", at positions 1909 to 2925 of the family's 2925-position model. The record is from RNAcentral.